GAGAGAGAGAGAGAGAGAGAGGGAGAGCGAGAGAGAGGAGAGAGAGAGAGAGAGAGAGAGAGAUGCUAACGUUAGAUAAAACAAAGUGAGUUCCCUGUACACGGAGCACCCGGUCAUAUCGUAUAACUCGCUGUGCUCCGCCUCCAUUUGUUCUUGUUGUUAUGGAAACGACAGGUCUGGCUACUCCGCUUGUCAUUGGUCGGCUGUCAAAAAAGCGCUUGACGUAGGGCGUUUUUUUUUUUCAGAAAAGUUGAACUUUUUUUCAACUUCAAAAAGACGCUCCGAGCUGCAGAAAAGAAGUCGGCGGAUUAUAACGUAGAACAGACGCUGGCAGCUUCAAGGAAGACGCCAAGUGUGAACACAGCCUUAAUUGGAAUUGGAAUAGUUUGGAAAAUUUGGUACGAAUCCAAUCAUCUGUUCCAAAUUUAAGUUUUGGAGUCUGUAGCGACCGCCGUACUUCCAGCAGGCGUUUGUUGUGUUGGAGCCACGGAGCACAGUAAGCGGCGCUCUAAAGUGUGGCUUUAUUUUACGGUG
Sander lucioperca (pikeperch) is the source of this 534-nucleotide long non-coding RNA. RefSeq lists it as uncharacterized. The transcript has 2 exons. NCBI's taxonomy places the organism in Eukaryota, Metazoa, Chordata, Actinopteri, Perciformes, Percidae. The record is from RefSeq and is a predicted model, not a curated record.